UUAAUUCAUUGAUGUUGGUUU
RNAcentral lists this non-coding RNA (21 nucleotides) under Caenorhabditis elegans. Lineage: Eukaryota; Metazoa; Nematoda; Chromadorea; Rhabditida; Rhabditidae. The record is from RNAcentral.